Molecule: ribosomal RNA, 236 nt
Filed under: uncultured bacterium
Lineage: Bacteria
Description: partial 16S ribosomal RNA
Rfam family: Bacterial small subunit ribosomal RNA
Source: RNAcentral
CCAUGAGUAAAGUGGCGACCGGGUGAGUAACACGUGACUAACCUACCUUCGAGUGGGGGAUAACCUCGGGAAACCGAGGCUAAUACCGCAUAACAUCGCAAGAUCAAAGCAGCAAUGCGCUGGAAGAGGGGGUCGCGGCUGAUUAGCUAGUUGGCGGGGUAACGGCCCACCAAGGCGAAGAUCGGUAGCCGGCCUGAGAGGGCGCACGGCCACACUGGAACUGAAACACGGUCCAG